AUCUUAUUUUAUUUCCGUGAUCAAUUUUUGCUCAUCACAUGAAAAGACAAAACGUAUAUUAAGUCUAUGAAAAUAAAAUAAAAUUAAAACCACCAAGGUGGUCAUUUUUAUUAAUCCAAAAAAAAAAAAAAACCAAAGACAAGGGUGAUGAAGCAAAUCUUAUUUUAUUUAUGUGAUCAUCCUUUCUCUUUUCUUGCAUGAUUCGUUCAUAUAUAAUAAAAUAACGAAUCCUUCAAAGUAACAAUAUAUAGCAUGGUGGCUAAAAUCUCUCUGUAAUCUGAAUUCUCUAAGUUAUAACCCUAAUAGUCAAGUUUUAAGGGCUUGAUCAAGACUGUUAUGUUCGAGAUAAAGAGAAUUGGUGGGAACCGCAGAAAAGGGCAGCCACUCAACUAAAAUGGUUUUUCAAAAGAUGAACCUAAUCAUAUGCUUGUUGGAAUAAAUUAUUGGGUUGGAACAUUCAUGAGAGGUGUUAAUCAGUUCAUCAGCCAAUUUUACCUAAGCCUUACUGAUUAUCUAAAAAUAAAACCAUUACGGGUAGGAAAUAUUUUGAUUUUGAAUAUUUUGUGUGGGAAAUAAAAUGGCGGCUAAAAAAUUAGUAGCAGAGAAAAGAACAUUCUGCAUCCUAUGAAAGGUUUUACAUUUGGAAAAACAAGGAAAUCAUUC
RNAcentral lists this long non-coding RNA (663 nucleotides) under Nicotiana benthamiana. Its description in RNAcentral is "long non-coding RNA (NBEN_LNC041263)". Lineage: Eukaryota; Viridiplantae; Streptophyta; Magnoliopsida; Solanales; Solanaceae. The record is from RNAcentral.